GAAUAUGUGAGCUGCCUGUUAGACUGGCCUGAUAGUAGAUGUAUUAAAACAGGAAUCUGGAGACUCAGACGAGGUGCAGACCAACCAUCUCAAAUUUAAUACAAAAAAGGACUUUGAAGACAUAACAAAGGACGACAUAUCUACUUACUUGAGUUCUGAAUGAAGAGACACUCCUCGCCUCUUGUUUUAAGCUGCUCCUGUUUUUAUUUUUGCUGAAGCUGAAACUGAAAGUAUCUUCAACCCUCUUCAACAACGGCCUCUGGUUACAUUAACUAUCAUCGACAGAAGAGGAAGGGUCAGCGAAUAGGAGUAAUCUACAACAUCAGAAACUCGUGAAAACCUGCCUAGUCCAAGUUCAUGAAUAUAAAUGUGAAAACGUACGAUCGACCUGGGAACCGAGGAACAGUUCAAGAGCGUCACGGUGCAGCAGCUGAAGGAGGAGAUACAAAAGACGAGCUCAGCAAGUGACUCACAUCAACAACAACAGCGCAGAAUGGAGAAGAUGUAUCAGGUCAUGGUUUAUGGAUUGAACGGGGAGAUGAAGACGAUUGAUCUCUGCAACACCGAGGAGCAGAUGAAGAACAUGACAGUGCUGCAGUUGAAGGAGAAGAUAUUACAGAGGUAUCCUAAGUACAGUGGAGCUGAUAUAGAACUUAUCUUCAUUGAUAAAAGGCUGGAUGAAGACUCUGCUCCACUGUGUAAAUAUGGAAUACAACACCUGUCUGUCAUAGUGUUAGUUGUAAAAGUGUACGGGGGCGGAGGACCUCUUCCUGAGAGGGGCGAUGGUGGGAUGGGUGACAAAGGAGAUAAAAACCAAAGCAUGGAAAGGCUCUCUGAUCUUUAAACCAUUUUAAUAACAGAUCAAAUCCACUCAUCAGUGACAUAAGACCUCAAACAGUUAUCUGAAGUCAUCUCAACCUAACCUCUGUGAACAGAGCAGGUCCUCCCACUGAAGAACAGUCACAGGAAAGUUAGUGUGAACAUGUUGGCUUGGACAGAAACACAUUCAUUUGCGUGAUUGUUGUGUAAAUGUUAAUCCAGGAACCUGCUGCUGUUGUGAAACACAUUAACACAGGAAUAAAUAAUUACAUUUUUAAAACCAUCUUCCACUGUUUUUGUGUUGUAGUACUUUAAGUUUGUGUUGUCUGUUGUUUGAAGCAUGUGAUCAGGUGUUUUGUUGCUCUACCAGCAACAUGUUCAGUCAGUUUGAUGACAUGAUUUGCACACACCUCGAAUCUGCUUUAAGAAGUAUUUAAUAGGUUAGUGUUGACGUUUUAGUUUUCAUACCAAACACCAAACUGUCUGGACUGUGAUAUGAAACAGAGCAUUUUGACAGUAACACAUCAUCAAACUAAAAGUGUACCACUAUGUAUGCAGGUGAAAAGGGACAGAUUUUUGUAGUAUUUUUUUUCUGACUUUGUUGGAUAUUAAAACCUUUUACAAACAUC
This is a long non-coding RNA of Mugil cephalus (flathead mullet), 1448 nucleotides long. RefSeq lists it as uncharacterized. NCBI's taxonomy places the organism in Eukaryota, Metazoa, Chordata, Actinopteri, Mugiliformes, Mugilidae. The record is from RefSeq and is a predicted model, not a curated record. The transcript is spliced from 4 exons.